CCUUUUCUGACGUGGCUUUGUCGCUUUCCGAUGCUUGAACUGGGUUCUUCGCUUGUCUUCUUUUUUCCUUGUUGCUCGAUCGCUCGCAACCUUGGUUGUUCGGUGAUCUUCAAGCUUUGACCGCUUGUCCGACUUCCCGGUGGAGAGGGGGAGGUACCUGCAAAAGGUACUCCGACGCCCAAGUCAGGCGUGUAUUGAAGAGCCUCGGCUCUUUAGAAAGUGAUUUGGUAUCACAGUAGAAUAUUUCUGAGUGUGAUUGGAGAGUAAUUUGAAAGUGAUUCGAAGAUGAUAGGAAGAUGAUUAGAAGGUCCCUGGCUUGUGCCCAUGGCUCUCUGAUAUAAGUCCAACAGAAUGUAAACAGAAAAUAAUAUAAACAAACUUACUUGAAAAUCUUGUUAGUUGCUAAAUAUCUUUAAAUAGAUAUUCUUUGAUUAUUUUAUAUCUUUAAUAAAAUAUAUCGUAACCGCUCGGCCCUGAUAUCAUAUUGUACAUUAUGCCCCCCAAGUCCGAGUUAAGCGUUAGGCUUUAGCCAUGGUUAACUGUAGGACUUAUGAGUUCGGGGGAGGUUGUUCUCGUUGUAUUGAGGAACUUGCUUUGCACGUGCUUCCGAGAAAGAUUUACUUCUUCGGCCUUCAACAUGAACCGAGAGGGAUUUACCUCUCGGCCUUCAAUAUGUAUGAACCGAGAGGGAUUUACCUCUUCGGCCUUUAUUAUGAACCGAGAGGGAUUUACCUCUUCGGCCUUUAACAUGAAUCGAGAGGAAUUUUACCUCUCGGUCUUAUUCAUUAACGAGAGGGAUUUACCUCUCGGGCGAGGGGGAUUUACCGCUCGGCCUUUGUUUUCAACUUUCUAGUUGACGAGAGGGAUUUACCUCUCGAUUUUUUCUUCAACGAGAGGAAUUUACCUCUCGGCCGAGAGGGAUUUACCACUCGGUCUUUGUUUUCAACUUUCUAGUUGACGAGAGGGAUUUACCUCUCAAUUUUUUCUUCAACGAGAGGAAUUUACCUCUCGGCCGAGAGGGAUUUACCACUCGGUCUUUGUUUUCAACUUUCUAGUUGACGAAAGGGAUUUACCUCUCGGUUUUUUCUUCAACGAGAGGGAUUUACCUCUCAGUCGAGAAGGAUUUACCGCUUGGUCUUUAAUAUAAACCGAGAGGGAUUUACCUCUUCGGCCUUCAACAUGAACCGAGAGGGAUUUACCUCUUCGGCCUUCAACAUAAACCGAGAGGGAUUUACCUCUUCGGCCUUCAACAAAAACUUUUGACGAGAGGGAUUCACCUCUCGGUCUUCAGUAUCAACGAGAGGAAUUUACCUCUCGGCCGAGGGGGAUUUAUCGCUCGGUCUUUAACUUCAGAUUCUUUUGGGGGGACUGUCUUUGAUUUAUAGUCCAUGGGGGAUUGUCCUUGAUUUAUAGUCCAUGGGGGACUGUCCUUGAUUUAUAGUCCAUGGGGGACUGUCCUUGAUUUAUAGUCCAUGGGGGACUGUCCUUGAUUUAUAGUCCAUGGGGGACUGUCUUUGAUUUAUAGUCCAUGGGGGACUGUCUUUGAUUUAUAGUCCAUGGGGGACUGUCUUUGAUUUAUAGUCCAUGGGGGACUAUCUUUGAUUUAUAGUCCAUUGGGGACUGUCUUUGAUUUAUGGUCUUGUGACCUGCAAGAUAUAUAAUAUAAAAAGUAUAGGCGAGAUCAUUCGGUCUUUGGUUAGAUGGCAAUAUCUCGUAAUAGUAUUUGAAAUGCCCUCUUCCCGCCUUUCUUCGAUGAAGGACCUGCAAACUUAGUUGUUUGUGAUAAUAAAAAUUUGAUUCACUUUUUUGGUGAAGUGAGAGUGGACCCCUUCGUAUAUAUUAUAUAACAUGUAUACAAUGAAUGUUUUGGUAAAAUAUACUAUGAAUUACACCGAGUAAAUAACACAUAAACAAGGCCUCAAAGCCGUCUUGAGAACUUAAAGGUAUUGGUAUUGAUAAUUAUCUCAAUAAUCCUUCUGAUUAUUUUGAUCAUAUCAAAUAUAUUUCGGUUUCAACAAUUAAAUAAUAUAUUUAUGGUUAUAUAUUACAUUUGGUGUAGUAUAUAUUUUAUACGACUAUAAUAUAUAUGGCAUGCCACAUACGACUAUAAAAUAAGGAUUGUAACAAUAAUCUUCUUUCGAAGUUUGAAAAGGAAACCUCUAUUAAUUAUGCGACGUGCAUCAGUAUAUAUUAUAUUAUAGAUAAAACAUUAUAUCUCUAAUGUUUAUAUAAUAGAUAUUAUAAUAUCUAAUAUUCAUAUUUUAUGGUGGUUUCAAAUGAUAUCUAGGCAGAUACUUUAUUGUUUUACUUUCAUAUAAAAUAUUCAUAUUUCAAAAUACUUAUCUUGUUGAUGACAAGUUGUGUAGCUUUUUGUUCUUCUGAAAAUUUUUGGUGUUGAUCCAAAGCAGUGAUGUUGAGACCGAACGCUUAGUCUUUGUUUCUGAUCAUCUCUAUGGUGUUUUGUUGUUCCUUCAUGCUCCUCGUGGUCGCCAUUUGGGUUUGUCGCUCGGCCCCACGGUGGGCGCCAAAAUGUUUCGGUAGGUAUUUUUGGGGACCGAGACACUAACCUUUUCUGACGUGGCUUUGUCGCUUUCCGAUGCUUGAACUGGGUUCUUCGCUUGUCUUCUUUUUUCCUUNUUGCUCGAUCGCUCGCAACCUUGGCUGUUCGGUGAUCUUCAAGCUUUGACCGCUUGUCCGACUUCCCGGUGGAGAGGGGGAGGUACCUGCAAAAGGUACUCCGACGCCCAAGUCAGGCGUGUAUUGAAGAGCCUCGGCUCUUUAGAAAGUGAUU
RNAcentral lists this long non-coding RNA (2791 nucleotides) under Vigna radiata. RNAcentral's name for it is "long non-coding RNA (VRAD_LNC014809)". The record is from RNAcentral. Lineage: Eukaryota; Viridiplantae; Streptophyta; Magnoliopsida; Fabales; Fabaceae.